CCUACGGGAGGCAGCAGUAGGGAAUCUUCCACAAUGGGCGAAAGCCUGAUGGAGCAACGCCGCGUGGGUGAAGAAGGUCUUCGGAUCGUAAAACCCUGUUGUUAGAGGAGAAAGUGCGUGAGAGUAACUGUUCACGCUUCGACGGUAUCUAACCAGAAAGCCACGGCUAACUCCGUGCCAGCAGCUGCGGUAAUACGUAGGUGGCAAGCGUUAUCCGGAUUUAUUGGGAGUAAAGGGAGCGCAGGCGGUCUUUUAAGUCUGAUGUGAAAGCUUUCGGCUUAACCAGAGUAGUGCAUUGGAAACUGGGAGACUUGAGUGCAGAUGAGGUGAGUGGAACUCGAUGUGUAGCGGUGAAAUGCGUAGAUAUAAGGAAGAACACCAGUGGCGAAAGUGGCUCUCUGGUCUGUAACUGACGCUGAGGUUCGAAAGCGUGGGUAGCAAACAGGAUUAGAUACCCUUGUAGUC
RNAcentral lists this ribosomal RNA (465 nucleotides) under uncultured bacterium. Its description in RNAcentral is "partial 16S ribosomal RNA". It matches the Rfam family "Bacterial small subunit ribosomal RNA", at positions 338 to 795 of the family's 1533-position model. The record is from RNAcentral.